GCACAACCUACUACAACCACUACAGCUCCAUUCCGUAGGGUUUUGUCAAGUUGCAGUUCCAAUAGCCAGUGUCCUGCUCAGGCUUCCUGCCGUGUUCGUUAUCCUGACGGACUAUUGUGUAUCUGUACCGAAGGAUUUGUGGCGUCAACCAAUUUGGCUGGUUGUGAAAGAGCCGCCUAUAUUAACGACGUGUGUAUAACGCAGUGUGCUGGCUUGUUUAUGGUGUGCAACGCUUUGUUACGCCGGUGCGAAUGUUUAUCGGGCUAUGUCAUGGCUGGGGACAACCAAAACUGCGUUUUGCCGAGAAGAGGUCUGCUGGGAGAAGCAUGCGGAGAUGGUUGUGUUUUUGUCACGGAGCAAGAAUGUGUGAAUGGUGUUUGCACGUGUAUGUCGAAUUUAAGACCUUUGACAACGGCAGAGAUUCAGGCCUUCAUUAAUCCCCAACGUCAGUGUAUAAGCUGGACAUACACACUAGAUGGAUCAAGUCCACCAACCACAACAACAAUGGCACCACCACCAACUACAACAGCUGCGCCUACUGUGUCAUCUCCAACAGAACAACCUACUACAACCACUACAGCUCCAUUUCGUAGGGUUUU
Long non-coding RNA from Liolophura sinensis, 599 nucleotides. RefSeq lists it as uncharacterized. The record is from RefSeq and is a predicted model, not a curated record. NCBI's taxonomy places the organism in Eukaryota, Metazoa, Mollusca, Polyplacophora, Chitonida, Chitonidae. The transcript is spliced from 3 exons.